CGACGGAGAGGGAGGAGGUGGGCCCACCACAAUCUUCCCCUGGGGACCCCUUUUCCCAUGUGAAUGUUUGCCGGGUGGACUCGAAAUCUUCCGCAAAUCUUCCCGUGACGAUGCCACCGAAUAUUAAUUACCCGGAAAAGGGAUCCCGAGCUUCCCUGUUCGACCAAACCAACCGCCUCUCAUAAAUGGGAAACUUCUCUCAUCCCUUCAAAUCGAAAGAAAAUUUUCCCCACCGCUGCCUGAUCAGCCUCGCGGCAGAGACCUUCAAUGAAUCCGCUGUUUUAAUGCAGUUCAGAAUGAGAAGGAGAUCAAAUGAUUAAAUGAUUGAAGUUCACCUUUCAUAUCGAAUGCAAGCACCAUGGGGACAGACGAUGAUGGCAUAUCAUGUAUGAUUGUCCAGGAC
Long non-coding RNA from Nymphaea colorata (pocket water lily), 403 nucleotides. RefSeq lists it as uncharacterized. Lineage: Eukaryota; Viridiplantae; Streptophyta; Magnoliopsida; Nymphaeales; Nymphaeaceae. The transcript has 3 exons. The record is from RefSeq and is a predicted model, not a curated record.